Molecule: long non-coding RNA, 824 nt
Organism: Herpailurus yagouaroundi (jaguarundi)
Lineage: Eukaryota; Metazoa; Chordata; Mammalia; Carnivora; Felidae
Exons: 2
Source: RefSeq, a predicted model, not a curated record
GGUUUCUAAAGAACUAUAAAGCAUUCAGUGCGAUCAAACAUGGAGGGGAGAGAGAUUGCUGUAUUCAGCAAAGUGGCUGUAUUCAGACCACCUCCCACGCACCCUGUAGCUGGAGGCGGUCUGCCCCCCACAGUACACCAGACGGCCGGACAGGCCAUGCUCGACGCUGGACGGAUGAGAUCGGUAGCCGUUUCCGGUCACACGCACUCACAGCCUGGAAGGGGAGGGCACCGCAUGCCGCGCAAGGUCGCUCGGCUGCAAUCUCCAAUCGAGUGAGCCAGCAAGGGCUGCGGGAGCCUCUCCAUUCACAGACAAGAAUAAGGGUACUAACAUCUUGGAACUUGGCGAACGUGAUCGUUGCCAAGAGAGGAGAAAAUGACCCGUAAAGCACGCUAGACCAGGAGGCCAAAACAUCUGCACACCCCUGCAAACAGGCAGGCGAACGUGACAGACGGACCGAACCCCAACUCAGCCUUCACUGGCCUCCGUCGCACAACCAGGCCCGUAUCAGCAGCACGUUUCUGGUCAACAACCGGCAAAUGUCCAAAGUUUUCGCCAUCAUCUCCCACCACAGGUAUCUGGGCUAUAUGUCCCUCGGGUCUCACCAGAAACUGUGCUGAUGCCUGAGGGGAAAUGUCAUGGAAACGGAGACACCAGUCAUCCGCAAAAAUUCUUUGGCAACCGCCCCCUGGCUUUUCAGCUGGGCAUCUGAGUCCCAGCCCCACGUCUCACUCUGCACUGGCAACGUGGAGCCCGCUCGGGGUUCUCUCCACCCUUCCCCUGCUCGCUCGCUCUCUCUCAAAAUCAAUAAAUACACAAAACAA